This 1496-nucleotide ribosomal RNA is filed under the name Klebsiella sp. PSB-08. RNAcentral's name for it is "bacterial SSU rRNA". It matches the Rfam family "Bacterial small subunit ribosomal RNA". The record is from RNAcentral. Lineage: Bacteria; Pseudomonadati; Pseudomonadota; Gammaproteobacteria; Enterobacterales; Enterobacteriaceae.
CAGAUUGAACGCUGGCGGCAGGCCUAACACAUGCAAGUCGAGCGGUAGCACAGAGAGCUUGCUCUCGGGUGACGAGCGGCGGACGGGUGAGUAAUGUCUGGGAAACUGCCUGAUGGAGGGGGAUAACUACUGGAAACGGUAGCUAAUACCGCAUAACGUCGCAAGACCAAAGUGGGGGACCUUCGGGCCUCAUGCCAUCAGAUGUGCCCAGAUGGGAUUAGCUGGUAGGUGGGGUAACGGCUCACCUAGGCGACGAUCCCUAGCUGGUCUGAGAGGAUGACCAGCCACACUGGAACUGAGACACGGUCCAGACUCCUACGGGAGGCAGCAGUGGGGAAUAUUGCACAAUGGGCGCAAGCCUGAUGCAGCCAUGCCGCGUGUGUGAAGAAGGCCUUCGGGUUGUAAAGCACUUUCAGCGGGGAGGAAGGCGGUGAGGUUAAUAACCUCAUCGAUUGACGUUACCCGCAGAAGAAGCACCGGCUAACUCCGUGCCAGCAGCCGCGGUAAUACGGAGGGUGCAAGCGUUAAUCGGAAUUACUGGGCGUAAAGCGCACGCAGGCGGUCUGUCAAGUCGGAUGUGAAAUCCCCGGGCUCAACCUGGGAACUGCAUUCGAAACUGGCAGGCUAGAGUCUUGUAGAGGGGGGUAGAAUUCCAGGUGUAGCGGUGAAAUGCGUAGAGAUCUGGAGGAAUACCGGUGGCGAAGGCGGCCCCCUGGACAAAGACUGACGCUCAGGUGCGAAAGCGUGGGGAGCAAACAGGAUUAGAUACCCUGGUAGUCCACGCUGUAAACGAUGUCGAUUUGGAGGUUGUGCCCUUGAGGCGUGGCUUCCGGAGCUAACGCGUUAAAUCGACCGCCUGGGGAGUACGGCCGCAAGGUUAAAACUCAAAUGAAUUGACGGGGGCCCGCACAAGCGGUGGAGCAUGUGGUUUAAUUCGAUGCAACGCGAAGAACCUUACCUGGUCUUGACAUCCACAGAACUUUCCAGAGAUGGAUUGGUGCCUUCGGGAACUGUGAGACAGGUGCUGCAUGGCUGUCGUCAGCUCGUGUUGUGAAAUGUUGGGUUAAGUCCCGCAACGAGCGCAACCCUUAUCCUUUGUUGCCAGCGGUUCGGCCGGGAACUCAAAGGAGACUGCCAGUGAUAAACUGGAGGAAGGUGGGGAUGACGUCAAGUCAUCAUGGCCCUUACGACCAGGGCUACACACGUGCUACAAUGGCAUAUACAAAGAGAAGCGACCUCGCGAGAGCAAGCGGACCUCAUAAAGUAUGUCGUAGUCCGGAUUGGAGUCUGCAACUCGACUCCAUGAAGUCGGAAUCGCUAGUAAUCGUAGAUCAGAAUGCUACGGUGAAUACGUUCCCGGGCCUUGUACACACCGCCCGUCACACCAUGGGAGUGGGUUGCAAAAGAAGUAGGUAGCUUAACCUUCGGGAGGGCGCUUACCACUUUGUGAUUCAUGACUGGGGUGAAGUCGUAACAAGGUAACCGUAGGGGAACCU